GAUGAACGCUGGCGGCGUGCCUAAUACAUGCAAGUCGAGCGAACAGAUGAGGAGCUUGCUCCUCUGACGUUAGCGGCGGACGGGUGAGUAACACGUGGAUAACCUACCUAUAAGACUGGGAUAACUUCGGGAAACCGGAGCUAAUACCGGAUAAUAUAUUGAACCGCAUGGUUCAAUAGUGAAAGACGGUUUUGCUGUCACUUAUAGAUGGAUCCGCGCCGCAUUAGCUAGUUGGUAAGGUAACGGCUUACCAAGGCAACGAUGCGUAGCCGACCUGAGAGGGGGAUCGGCCACCCUGGAACUGAGACACGGUCCAGAGUCCUAAGGGAGGCAGCAGUAGGGAAUCUUCCGCAAUGGGCGAAAGCCUGACGGAGCAACGCCGCGUGAGUGAUGAAGGUCUUCGGAUCGUAAAACUCUGUUAUUAGGGAAGAACAAAUGUGUAAGUAACUAUGCACGUCUUGACGGUACCUGAUCAGAAAGCCACGGCUAACUACGUG
This 497-nucleotide ribosomal RNA is filed under the name uncultured bacterium. RNAcentral's name for it is "partial 16S ribosomal RNA". It matches the Rfam family "Bacterial small subunit ribosomal RNA", at positions 28 to 507 of the family's 1533-position model. The record is from RNAcentral.